UACGUAGGGUGCGAGCGUUACUCGGAAUUACUGGGCGUAAAGCGUGCGCAGGCGGUUUUGUAAGGCAGAUGUGAAAGCCCCGGGCUUAACCUGGGAAUGGCAUUUGGGACUGCAAGGCUGGAGUGUGGCAGAGGAGACUGGAAUUCCUGGUGUAGCAGUGAAAUGCGUAGAUAUCAGGAGGAAUACCGAUGGCGAAGGCGGAUCGCUGGGCCUGUCCUGACGCUCAGGCGCGAAAGCUAGGGGAGCAAACAGG
Molecule: ribosomal RNA, 253 nt
Filed under: uncultured bacterium
Lineage: Bacteria
Description: partial 16S ribosomal RNA
Rfam family: Bacterial small subunit ribosomal RNA
Source: RNAcentral